This 254-nucleotide long non-coding RNA is filed under the name Mytilus galloprovincialis (Mediterranean mussel). Lineage: Eukaryota; Metazoa; Mollusca; Bivalvia; Mytilida; Mytilidae. The record is from RNAcentral.
UCCAAGUGUUCUUUAUUUUUAUGAAAUGGAUAUGAAAUAUUUGGUGUUAAGCAUCACCAACUUGUGGUUCCAAUUAGAAUCUUGGGCAUCAAAUUGGCACUGAUUAUGAUAUUGUGAGUCCCAGACAGGUACAUCUGUUAAGUACUAAAACUAGUUUAUUUAAACCUCCAAAUACAUCAUGGAAUUUAUAAAAAAAAAAUUAAAAAUAUUCAUGACCUCAUUUGACCAUGAACCCAUGUAAUCAUUUAUCAUAC